GACGGAGGAGGCUAGCGUUGUCCGGAUUGACUGGGCGUAAAGAGCAUGUAGGUGGGAUCUUAAGUCGGUGGUGAAAGCCUUCCGCUUAACGGAAGAAUUGCCAUCGAAACUGGGAUUCUUGAGGGCAGGAGAGGAGAGUGGAAUUGCUGGUGUAGCGGUGAAAUGCGUAGAGAUCAGCAAGAACACCCGUGGCGAAGGCGACUCUCUGGACUGCUCCUGACACUGAGAUGCGAAAGCCAGGGGAGCGAACGGG
RNAcentral lists this ribosomal RNA (253 nucleotides) under uncultured bacterium. RNAcentral describes it as "partial 16S ribosomal RNA". It matches the Rfam family "Bacterial small subunit ribosomal RNA", at positions 524 to 776 of the family's 1533-position model. The record is from RNAcentral.